Molecule: ribosomal RNA, 902 nt
Filed under: Fomitopsis dollingeri
Lineage: Eukaryota; Fungi; Basidiomycota; Agaricomycetes; Polyporales; Fomitopsidaceae
Description: Fomitopsis sp. JV-2022a partial large subunit ribosomal RNA
Rfam family: Eukaryotic large subunit ribosomal RNA
Source: RNAcentral
GGAAAAGAAACUAACAAGGAUUCCCUUAGUAACUGCGAGUGAAGCGGGAAGAGCUCAAAUUUUAAAUCUGGCAGUCUCUGGCUGUCCGAGUUGUAGUCUGGAGAAGUGUUUUCCGUGCUGGACCGUGUACAAGUCUCUUGGAACAGAGCGUCGUAGAGGGUGAGAAUCCCGUCUUUGACACGGACUACCAGUGCUAUGUGAUGCACUCUCAAAGAGUCGAGUUGUUUGGGAAUGCAGCUCAAAAUGGGUGGUAAAUUCCAUCUAAAGCUAAAUAUUGGCGAGAGACCGAUAGCGAACAAGUACCGUGAGGGAAAGAUGAAAAGCACUUUGGAAAGAGAGUUAAACAGUACGUGAAAUUGCUGAAAGGGAAACGCUUGAAGUCAGUCGCGUUAGCCAGGACUCAGCCUUGCUUUUUUGCUUGGUGCACUUUCUGGUUGACGGGCCAGCAUCAAUUUUGAUUGCCAGAAAAAGGCAAGGGGAAUGUGACACCUUCGGGUGUGUUAUAGCCCUUUGUCACAUAUGGCAGUUGGAAUUGAGGACUGCAGCACGCCUUUACGGCCGGGGUUCGCCCACGUUCGUGCUUAGGAUGCUGGCAUAAUGGCUUUAAACGACCCGUCUUGAAACACGGACCAAGGAGUCUAACAUGCCUGCAAGUGUUUGGGUGGAAAACCCGAGCGCGUAAUGAAAGUAAAAGUUGAGAUCCCUGUCAUGGGGAGCAUCGACGCCCGGACCUGAUCUUCGGUGAUGGAUCUGCGGUAGAGCAUGUAUGUUGGGACCCGAAAGAUGGUGAACUAUGCCUGAAUAGGGUGAAGCCAGAGGAAACUCUGGUGGAGGCUCGUAGCGAUUCUGACGUGCAAAUCGAUCGUCAAAUUUGGGUAUAGGGGCGAAAGACUAAUCGAACC